RNAcentral lists this ribosomal RNA (460 nucleotides) under uncultured bacterium. Its description in RNAcentral is "partial 16S ribosomal RNA". It matches the Rfam family "Bacterial small subunit ribosomal RNA", at positions 338 to 795 of the family's 1533-position model. The record is from RNAcentral.
CCUACGGGAUGCAGCAGUGAGGAAUAUUGGUCAAUGGGCGCGAGCCUGAACCAGCCAAGUAGCGUGAAGUAUUACUGCCCUACGGGUUGUACACUUCUUUUAUCAAGGAAUAAAGUGAGGCACGUGUGCCUUUUUGUCUGUACUUUAUUAAUAAGGAUCGGCUAACUCCGUGCCAGCAGCCGCGGUAAUACGGAGGUACCGAGCGUUAUCCGGAUUUAUUGGGUUUAAAGGGAGCGGAGAUGGGUUGUUAAGUCAGUUGUGAAAGUUUGCGGCUUAACCGUACAAGUGCAAUUGAUACUGGCAGUCUUGAGUACAGUUGAGGUAGGCGGAAUUCGUGGUGUAGCGGUGAAAUGCUUAGAUAUCACGAAGAACUCCGAUUGCGAAGGCAGCUUACUAAACUGCCACUGACAUUGAUGCUCGAAAGUGUGGGUAUCAAACAGGAUUAGAUACCCUUGUAGUC